ACUUAAUGUUGUUUCAAAGUUAUGUUGCUGCUCAAUUAGAGAACAUGAUAGCUUAAAGUUGUGCAAUGCUCCCUUAUAAUGUUAUUCUCCAGCCACCUGCU
This is a long non-coding RNA of Gopherus evgoodei (Goodes thornscrub tortoise), 101 nucleotides long. RefSeq lists it as uncharacterized. NCBI's taxonomy places the organism in Eukaryota, Metazoa, Chordata, Testudines, Testudinidae. The record is from RefSeq and is a predicted model, not a curated record. The transcript is spliced from 3 exons.